UGUAGAUGCCAUGAUGUAACAGCAGAAAGCUGCCACUCAGUGCACCAGUGAGGGUGACUCGGAUGAAGCCAAAGAUGGUCCAGGGGAAAAACAGAAAAAGCAAAGGCACCUUGGACAACUCCUCUGGCAGUGUACCUGAAGAAGAAGCCCUUCUGAUAGCCAGGGGAACUGUCUCCGGGGACUACAGAAAGCCAAGGUGACUUCUCUGAACAAGACCAUAAAGUUUCUCUUCUUGGUCACGGUCACCUGAUGAAGUUUCAGCUUGCUUAACUUACUGUGCAUUUAAAGGGCAAGCAAAGAGAACAAGAAAGAAUACUGGGCACAAUGAUUUGGGAGAAAAAAGGAUCGCAGAAAAAGCAAGGAAAGAAUGAUCUGUUCCAUCCACUUCAAUUUCAUGGUUGAUGUAAUACAAUUAACCCCUCAAUAUCUUCUAGCUUUGAGAGGAGACUUAACCAUACAAAAUAAGAAACAGCAAUUCACAUAAAACUGCUUCAAAUAACUUUCUUUUAAAUGAGAGAACUUUUUUCUUUAAAAAAGAAAACAAAAGCAAUAAAUAUUUUUCACCCUUGUGAGUUUAUUUUAAAGGAUACUGUAUUAUGAGUAUACUUGAAAACUAAGACUUUGACUUCCUAGCUUUUAUUUUAUAUAGAAAAUGAUUGUCACUUUACACAUACAAGAAGUAAUUACAGCUAGUCACUUUGUUCUCACCAUCAUUUCUGUCACACAGGUAACAGUUGCUUUCUUCCUGCCAAGAAUCUGUGUUUGUCUUCAAUAAUACUUUAUAAUUCGGUUCCUUUUGCAUAUGUUUCCUAUAUAGAUAAGCAGAGAUGUACUAAACACUAACUUUUCAAAGCUAAUUCUCAUCUCCUCCUUAUUCUCUUCUGAUUAUUCUUUCUUUAAGCUAAUGAAUAUAUGAACAUCUCUUACUAUGUGCUUGCUAAGCACUGGAGAAUUGACACAAUAUAUUUUGGCACAGUUCAAUAGAACUAUUAAAUA
This is a non-coding RNA of Oryctolagus cuniculus (rabbit), 996 nucleotides long. The record is from RefSeq and is a predicted model, not a curated record. Lineage: Eukaryota; Metazoa; Chordata; Mammalia; Lagomorpha; Leporidae.